CGCAGAUAUACGGGACCUACAGUUUAACGUCGGUUUCGAAUGGCGGUAAUUUUUUAAGAAGAGGUUCUCUUAGCAAAGAUACUUUCGGUGGUUUGCCGUUGCCUUCCGAGAAGCGGCGAUCGCUUCCGAAUCGAUUAAAAUCGAUUUCAGAGUAUUAUUCUGGGUAGAUUUGAACUCGGAUUUUUAUUAUAUAAAGCUGCCGCGCUGCUCCUUGCGCCACAAUCGCCACUAUUAGACUUGCAUACUAUAUUGUAAUAUGCGUUAUUAAUCAAUUGAAAAUCCGUACUAGUUAAGAGAAAUUGCAUGACAUUGGUAAAUGUAUUGAUGUGGUAUCAUUGGCAAUAAAAUAAUCGGAUUAUAUUUUGUAAACAAAACACUAGCAUAAAAUAUGAAAACAUUAUACGCACAGAUUUCUAUAUACCCUGGAUCGUCAAUUCCGAGAAAUGAAGCAGAGUAACUCAGGAGAAGGGAUAGCAGCCAUUUUUACCCAGUAAUGGGUUACAUUCCAAAAUUUUAACCUAUAUUAUUAAAUGCAUACUAACACUACUUCAUAAAACACAAUGUAGGGUAAACUAGAAUAAUACGGAGAAGAUGAUAAACUUAAAACUAGACCAUACGGAAAAGAUGAUUAUAGGCUGUAAUUUCUCUAAUAAUUGCGAAAUAGUGAAUUUUUUAAAUCAUUCUCAAAGAUAAUCAAUAUUUACAGUAGUUUAUGUGCGUACAUUGUUCAAAAUAACAAUAAUGUGAAUAUUAUAUAAUAUUUUUACUUUUAACUGUCAGCAAAAUUUUACAUGUGUUCACUAAAAGCUGUUAUAACAUCGAAUAAAUUACAGUUAAGCUGCCGUAAUCAACAUACACACACAAUAAACGAUUCAUAAAUUGUAAUGUGACUUAUUAUUUGUAUUUUUAUUUUCAGUAUUUAUUUAUAAAUACUAUGGCCUUCUUUUCUUUCGGAUAAGAAUAAUAAGGCUCACUUUUUUCAUGUUAAGUUGGCCAACAAGCUGCGUUUGGAAACAUCACCGAUUGUCUCUAUGUAUUAUUUUAUCCUUGUUAUUCACUGAAUAUUAAACAAAUAUAACACGAUAGAGGGCACUCGGUGCAAACGCAGCAUUGUUAAGAUAAAUGUCACUUAUUAUAAACUGACAGCUUACUAUAAAUUGACUUUACAAUUGUGGAUAAUGUGCAACAAAAGAAAGUAUUAAUAUUUUUCACUUUGAUUUUGUUAUAGUUUCAGUAAAUAUCACAAUAUUUACUUUGUAAGUUAUUAUCAGGUAAAAUUGACCGGUCAGAACUUCCUUCUCGAAAGAGGACAAAGAAAAGCCAAGAUAGUGAAUGUACACGCCGCAAAAUGGCCCAUAGCCAAAUGGCGUGCACGUGCGAAUAGAGCUAUUCCUGGGCAGUAAAUAAAAGAGCCUACCAGUCGAGGACACUGGCCACUGCUGAUGACGCUUAAACGUUGCUGCUUGGCCGUGAAAAUUCUUGGGUAGUUCAACUAGUUUAGAGCUUUUGUGUUUACUUAAAAGAAAUCACCUGCAUUAAUAAAACACAUUUUUACUAAUUAUUCGAUGAGAAUAAUCUCACUUUUCAAUUUCACUUUCACUUUGUAUCUCAUGUUUUAUUAUAUUGAUAAAAAUAUGUCGAAAUAACGGAGCGGUUAUUUAUGCCAUAUUUUGUUUAUUGUUAUUAUAAUUCUAUAAUUUAAAAAAGAAAAGAUAAUUGCAUAUAUAUUUUUGAUGAAAUUAAAAAGAUUGUAAUGUAGUAAAAGAAUAAUGAUAAGUAAUCAUAGCAUACAAAUAUAAUUUUUUAAUUGGCUUUCGAA
Molecule: long non-coding RNA, 1819 nt
Organism: Wasmannia auropunctata (little fire ant)
Lineage: Eukaryota; Metazoa; Arthropoda; Insecta; Hymenoptera; Formicidae
Exons: 2
Source: RefSeq, a predicted model, not a curated record